CUUCUUACCACCUCCUCCCUGUGCCCACCGCCGCCCGACCUCCUCCCCACCGCGCCGCUACCCGGCCUCCUCCCAGCGCUCCGCCGGCCGGCCUCCUCCCAGCGAACCUCCGGCCGGCCUCCCCCCCGCGCCCCUGAGCGGCCUCCUCCCCACCGCGCCACUGGCUGGCCUCCUCCCCCAGCGCGCCUCCGGUCGGCCUCCUCCCAGCACGCCUCCGGCCGGCCUCCUCCCACCGUGCCUCUGGCCGGCCUCCUCCCCACCGCGCUGUCGUCCGGCCUCCUCCCCACCGCGCCGUCGCCCGGCCUUCUCCUUGAGCGCGCUGCCGCCCGGCCCUCUCCCCAUCGCUGGCAGCGUCUCCAUUCUGCUCCGGCCGCCUCUCUCCCUCCGACCACCAUGGCUCCAACCUCUCGCAUCUCGCACUGCCCUCAUGUAGUUGGAGCACCCUGCCCGUUCACAGCCACCACUUUCAGGCCGUUCAACGCCACCACCCAAAGCAGUUCACCGUAGCAGAACCCUGGAUCCCGCUGCCACCAUGUCUCUGUCCUGCUGCAGCAUGGCUCAGCUACUGCACUUGGUGGAGGGAAGAGCCUUUCCCCUGCGGAAUGCAAGUGUUCAUGAGGUAGGAGCGGAGAAGGAAGAUGGAAUCUGCUGGCUACGGUGGAGGUACCAGACUUUGAUAUGAUGAUGCUUACUGACAGAAGUGAAGUUCCUCCACUACAGCCACUGCGGCCCACAACAGCCCUUGGUGGUGGAGUUCGUCGCAUCCAUCAGUCCAACCCCAUGGCUUCAGGGCAUCCAAGUUUCGUCGCGGCCAUCAGUUCGGACACCUGUGUCACUGCGUGUGUUGCACUCACGGCCAUUUGUGUCACAGUGUGCUCUGUCACCGGCCUCCAGUGCACCGGGACCCCUGCCGCACUCCUUCCUCUCCCUGAAGCCGCUCGUGCCCUCCCAGGCUUGAUAUCCUGCUACAGCGAUGAGCUCAUGUACAUCGCCGAAGUUCCAUACCCGCUCAACGGCACCAGCACGAGGAGCGUGCCUCAAGGUCAAGUAUGCAGACGCAUGCAGAGGAGUGCAGGUUGUCCGAUGCGCCAAGUAUUGCCAGCAGCGAUGCCUGCUUACAUCUUCCUCGUGUGAUUCGCCAAGGCCGUGUACUCCUCCUGAGAUAAGAAGAGCGAUAAGGAGGUGAUCAGUCCAGCUCCUGCAACCAACACAGGUCGUUGCCCCUUUUGCCACAACGGCAGCAGCACAAACAUUAGUGUGGUCGUCCUCAACCAGUUCCUCACGCAGCCUCCACGCAAGCCCUGCUCAUGUAUGCUUACACCAAAAGUACACCUCUUGCUACUCUCCUUGUACUUGCACUUGCUUAUUUUCUAAGCAAUAAUUCCUAUUGCUUCCUCUUGGGGGAAGGGAUCCCAUGUUAAAGCUAUCUUGGUGCUCACCCACUGUUUAUAUUCAUCAGCAUAGUGUACGAAACAUAUGAAAACCAUUCUGGCUUCGGAGAAAAUAUAACCAGUACAUGUGCAAUUGCGUGAGAAGUUCCCUUAUGAAAGUUCCUUGUAAACAAACCACAUGAAAGUUCAUCGAGAAAAACUUUGUAAGUUCAAACGGCUAUAGGAAAACUUUGUAGGUUCAGAUGGGUAUAGAAAACUUCGUAAGUUCAAAAUGGGCACGCCUAACAGUGCACGAAUAAAUAAACUAUAAACCCAACAAAGUCCAUGUUGGUCGGUCUACAGUGUGUUGUCUAUAAAGUUGUUGGCCUUGGAGGCCGACACUGGCUGAUCAUCUACCUUCCAAUUAUUAUUAGGCAUAUACCACUGAAACUGCAGGUCACGCCCUCCUCCCGCUGUAGGUCGCGCCCUCCUCCCGCAUAGCCUAUUGGUUGGCGCACCAUGACCCCUCCUCAUAUUUUUGCAAUUCAACAGGGGCGUGGGGUUCAGUUUGACGGUGACGACCCAGGCAGCCGGCCUUCGCAUAACGAACUGGUGCAGUUUGAUCUUGUGUGAAUUGGAAAUCCCCUGAUGCUGAGUGUGUCAGUACAAUCCUACGCUACAAGGCACGCGUACAUCCACUUCACGUUAGAUGUCUCUUCAGAAGCAUUCACGGUCAAAAAUAGCGGCAACCUCCGUUCAAGUUGAGCAAUUGUCACCGUCCAAGUAAAGCACUAGGCACCUUCCAAGUUGAUCAAUCAUAUGGGGGUACAUAGCAGUGGGACAUCGAGCUUCUGCACGGCAGGUCCAUCCUUGAAGCGCAAGACUUUUUGUCUUUCAUUGCUCAUAAAGUGUACUGAUUGUUUGUUUUGAGUGGUACUGGUUUUGCCCAGUUUUAAGCUUUGGGACGGUUCAAAUUU
Triticum aestivum (bread wheat) is the source of this 2347-nucleotide long non-coding RNA. RefSeq lists it as uncharacterized. The record is from RefSeq and is a predicted model, not a curated record. The transcript has 6 exons. Lineage: Eukaryota; Viridiplantae; Streptophyta; Magnoliopsida; Poales; Poaceae.